UCUAAUGUGGCAGAUUAGUGCAAUGAACUUAAGAUUCAUAUAUAAAGAAAUAUCUUUUAUUAGAA
This 65-nucleotide transfer RNA is filed under the name Neuroctenus yunnanensis. RNAcentral's name for it is "tRNA-Leu". Lineage: Eukaryota; Metazoa; Arthropoda; Insecta; Hemiptera; Aradidae. The record is from RNAcentral. RNAcentral also lists the same sequence under 1 other name.